Pieris brassicae (large cabbage white) is the source of this 1582-nucleotide long non-coding RNA. RefSeq lists it as uncharacterized. The transcript is spliced from 4 exons. The record is from RefSeq and is a predicted model, not a curated record. NCBI's taxonomy places the organism in Eukaryota, Metazoa, Arthropoda, Insecta, Lepidoptera, Pieridae.
CGAAUCACUGCAACAGAUAAGGUAUUUGACGAGUAGUCGUCCGUGUGAAACAAGUGAAAAUGAGUGGAAAUCAAAAAUAUCCGCGUUUCAUCGCCGCUAAUGUUUACCAGAAACCUACUAAUUUACUACCUAAAAUCCCACUUGGAAAGCCCGCAGAUAGAAAGAAAACUAUAAAUAAUCCACAAAAUCAAGAAAUGAAAAAGUGCUAAGAAGUUUUUAGUUGCAGAAAUUUUAAACUAUUUGUCAUAUUUCAUAUUGUAUUUCGAUUUCUUGGACCCGCUAUCAUAUCAACAUUAUUACAGAACAUUUUAUUUUAAUAUUGCUUAUAUUUGGGAAUUUACUUGGGAAGACCACAAAAGGUGACGACGGGCUGACGACUCCGUUAAGGUUUAGGCUUUAACCAAAGUUUCAGAUAUUACAGCACAAACAAGAUUAGCUCACAAAAGUUAUUAAAUAAAACACAAUGGAUAUAUAAAUAUAUUGGAAAAACUGAAUGAAUAUUAAACAAAUAAAAAUAUGUUUCAAAGAUGUUACGACGUUUCAGAUUUCUUUUUAUACUAAAUUCUCCAAGAACUCCUCAUGAUUGUCAAAUGUUUCUGUUAUCUAUAUGAAUAUUUAUAGACGAAAAUGGUUGAUAAGACUUUGAAUUCGUAAUAUUUUGUAUCGAAAUCAAAAGCAAUUUUGUAGUAAUAAUGAUUUAGGAGAUAUGCGUUUCUGAUACAAUAAAAUCCAUAAAAAAUUGGUUAUUUAAUAAGAAAUUCCUUAAACUUUAGCCAAAUGUUAAUAAAGCGGUCAAUCGAUGUCAAAUAGAACUAACCGCAGAUAAUAACUUACAUUUAUAAUUUAUCAAACAAGUUUCCGUGUUGGUGGGCGACGCUCGCGUCUCUUUUAUUCCAAAAUGGAUUCAUUUAUUAAAUUUGUAAAAAGUGUUUUGCCGCCGGGGCCACAAACUUCCUCUUCGCUCGUGGAAGCCAGGGUGUUCCAGAAACCCACAAAUCAGUUACCGCCUUCACGAGACAGCACGCCUCCAGGUACACCUCCAGGAUCGCCAAAGCCCGAAAAGAAGACCAAUGAAAGCGAAGGAGAGAAAGAUAAAUAGAUUAUAAUUAACACUUAAAAGUAUUAGAGUUUAAAUCAUAAAAGGACUUGCAUAGCAGUAAAAGUGGAUUUUAAAAUCUUUAGAUUAUAUAAUCUUACUUUCUGUGUAAUGGAUAAAAUAACAAAAUUUCGUCCCAAUUUAUAAUGUAUAACAUAUUACAUAUAGCGAAGUGAAGUUAUAAGAAAAUUUACAGAAUCAUUUAUAAAAUUUUGGUUCAGUGUAAUAUGUUUCUGGAUUUUAACCAUGACUCCUCUGGAUUUAGAGAUCUGUAGGCCUCAGGGCAACAAAGGAGUGCCAGCUCUCUGGCCCCAAAAUUUUAUUCACAAUAUAUUGUAUAUUUUUUACAUCCUUCCAGCCAAUACGAUUAUGUCGAAAAUAUGAUACACACAUUGUUUCGGAGACACCAUUCACUUAGUGAAACGUUUUUGUUAAUUUUUUAAAUAGAAUAUAUAUUUUUUUAUAUAUAAGUCGUUGUGAAACCAA